Canis lupus familiaris (dog) is the source of this 1096-nucleotide long non-coding RNA. RefSeq lists it as uncharacterized. The record is from RefSeq and is a predicted model, not a curated record. NCBI's taxonomy places the organism in Eukaryota, Metazoa, Chordata, Mammalia, Carnivora, Canidae. The transcript is spliced from 3 exons.
GCGAGAGGGCGAGGCUCUGAUUGGCCGCGCGCCCCGUCCCUCUCCUCUCUUCCGCAGGCCACGGGGGCUUUGGUAGCCGACGCUAAGGAGGAGCGUCUCCGCUCCCGGCUGCAGGAUCUCGGGAGGGGGCGGCGUGCGGAGGCGAGGGACCGGGAAGGAGGAAUUAGGCGGGAUGACUCAUCCCUCGCCCCGCUUCCUUCCGACCUCCGGCGCCGUCUCCCAAGAGCAGGGGGCGUGAGAAAGCCCUCCCCGCAGCGAGCAGGCCCACGGAGGGGGCCGGGGCUGCUCGCCAACCGUCUGCGUUUGGCUUCCAGCCCUGGUCCCCGCGCCGACCUGUACCGCGGGCGAGGGCCGCGCGCCCGCCAGACCCCUCCUUCCCUUCCGCUGCCCGCAGCCUGCCUGGGCCCGAGCCUCCCCCGGGCCCGGGGUUUUGUACCGCCCGGCCCCGGCGCUCCCCAUCCCGGGAGCCUGCAGCCCCGGGCGGAAAAGCCCCCAGGAAGGGCCUCUUUGCUCCUUUCACCCUCACUGCCUGAGGUCUAAGAGGGGAAUUAAGAAUACCGAUUUCUUAGUGUUGCCAUGAGAUUGCAGCUAGGUGACCGAUGUAAAUAAAGGCUCAGUAUGGUAGCUAAAAAAAAAAUCUCUAACUCUUCAUUUCCCGCUUAAAAAUCAGGCUCGGCCCAGAGGCUUCUCCGGGCGUGGUGUGAACCUAACGGUGUGAACGUGCCUGUCUCCCCUCUUCACCCUCCCUGCCUCCCAAAGCGGUGCUGUCACGGGGCUCUCGCACCUGGCCGAGCUUUCGCAAGGUUUGAGGCAGGUCAGGCAGGGUUGCCUAUUGCUCAGCGCCUACAGUUCAGUAACUAGCUGCAGACGAAUCACUGUGUCACUGCGGAGUCUCAGUGUUUGAAUCCAAACAGCAUUAUACAGUGUCACGUGGCCUGAGCAUUUAUCACAGCUUCAGAAUGGGAUUUCCAUCAAGUAUUGCUGCUUCAGAAAAGGGAGAUACACAGGAGUGUACGCAAGAUGAUUUUGAUUUUGGGAAUGAUGAAGCCUCACAUCCUGAGUAUCAGCAGCUUGUCAGUGACAGCAGUCUCUGAAG